AAGUUACAGGGUUUCUAGAGGCGUCAAAAUCACUCUUCAGUCAACGACUCUCGAUACACUGCCCCUACAAAUCAAAUGCUUCACAGUCCACCCACACGAGUGUGAUUGAGACACGAACUUUACGAAUCAACGUAGCAGGUGGAUGAAACAGGAACCAGGAUUUUCAAUGCGAAAAAAUGCUCGUGUCGCGUGAAUUCGUUACAAUUUUUGUGUCUUGUACUUUGAUUUCAGCAUCGUCACCAACGAACGUCAUCCCAGCGCAAAUGAAGCGUUGUUUUUGCAGUUAUUGAUUUCACUUGUGUGGAUUGCAGACGCUAUCUAGAAAGAUAGACACAAUGGUCUAAAUUGUGCUACAGGCUUGAGAAAGAUGAGGGCUUACAUAGCUUUACAGCACAUGAUGUGAAUGCAAAUAUGUCGAUAUAUUGUCGAUUGAUGUUCCCAACACAGAAGAAAAGUUAAAAAUGGCAGUUUUGAUUAUUUCAAAAACUCUUGCAAUUGAAAUAUUUCCCGAGAUGUGCGAUGCCAUGAUGGCUAACAUCACGGUCGCCUACACACAAUCCACAUUCUACUGAAAUCAUACAUGCUGUGAGUACCAAUAGCUAUUUUGUUGAGUAAAAAUGAUUUUUGCCUACCGAUGAGAUUUAAUAUUAACAAUGUGUACUUAUAACCAAUUACCGGCGAAUAAAAUUGAUGAGUUUUUGAUACAUAAUGGAAUUUAACACAGGUCAAUUAAAUGAAUUUACUCGAAGCGCUUGCGCAUUGACAAGCUUUUUUUGCUAAUUGUCGAAAUACCCUCUAUUCGCCUGCAUUUUUGUGAUCAUGAUAAAGUCAUAUUUUAUUAUUAUUAUUUUUAUUAUUAAUUAUCACUGAUUUACGAUUCUGAUUAAUGGGUGGAUUCAAUUCAAUGGAUCAGGGGCGAUAUCGUCAGAAAUGAACCGAGUCAACGUAGGGUGAAAUAUGGUUUGGAUGACUGUGACUGGCUUAUACGGGCAGAAUACAUU
RNAcentral lists this long non-coding RNA (1001 nucleotides) under Neodiprion lecontei (redheaded pine sawfly). RNAcentral describes it as "uncharacterized LOC124295005". Lineage: Eukaryota; Metazoa; Arthropoda; Insecta; Hymenoptera; Diprionidae. The record is from RNAcentral.